This 844-nucleotide ribosomal RNA is filed under the name uncultured Chloroflexota bacterium. RNAcentral's name for it is "bacterial SSU rRNA". It matches the Rfam family "Bacterial small subunit ribosomal RNA", at positions 527 to 1382 of the family's 1533-position model. Lineage: Bacteria; Bacillati; Chloroflexota. The record is from RNAcentral.
GUAGGAGGCGAACGUUAUCCGGAUUUACUGGGCGUAAAGCGCGUGUAGGUGGUUUGGUAAGUAGGGCGUGAAAGCUCCUGGCUCAACUGGGAGAGGCCGUUCUAAACUGCCAAACUAGAGGAUGGUAGAGGGAGGUGGAAUUCCGGGUGUAGCGGUGGAAUGCGCAGAUAUCCGGAGGAACACCAGUGGCGAAAGCGGCCUCCUGGACCAUUCCCGACACUCAGACGCGAAAGCUAGGGUAGCAAACGGGAUUAGAGACCCCGGUAGUCCUAGCCCUAAACGAUGUAGACUAGGCGUCGGAAGCUUAAUCGCUUUCGGUGUCCAAGCUAACGCGAUAAGUCUACCGCCUGGGGACUACGGCCGCAAGGUUAAAACUCAAAGGAAUUGACGGGUCCCCGCACAAGCAGCGGAGCGUGUGGUUUAAUUCGUUGCUACACGAAGAACCUUACCUGGGUUUGACAUAGCAGUGGUAGGGAAGCGAAAGCGGACCGACCCUUCGGGGGGCUGUUACAGGUGUUGCAUGGCUGUCGUCAGCUCGUGUCGUGAGAUGUUCGGUUAAGUCCGCUAACGAGCGCAACCCGCGUUGUGUGUUACAAGUGUCACACAAUACCGCCGGUAUUAAGUCGGAGGAAGGUGCGGAUGACGUCAAGUCAGCAUGACCUUUAUAUCCAGGGCUACACACACGCUACAAUGGUCAGCACAAUAGGUUGCCAAGUCGUGAGACGGAGCCAAUCCUCCAAAGCUGGCCUCAGUUCAGAUUGCAGGCUGCAACUCGCCUGCAUGAAGUUGGAGUUGCUAGUAACCGCAGGUCAGCUAUACUGCGGUGAAUACGUUCCCGGGGAUU